RNAcentral lists this non-coding RNA (21 nucleotides) under Caenorhabditis elegans. Lineage: Eukaryota; Metazoa; Nematoda; Chromadorea; Rhabditida; Rhabditidae. The record is from RNAcentral.
UUCAUAAAGUGGUUGAAUGAA